Long non-coding RNA from Quercus robur (English oak), 1033 nucleotides. RefSeq lists it as uncharacterized. The record is from RefSeq and is a predicted model, not a curated record. The transcript is spliced from 3 exons. Lineage: Eukaryota; Viridiplantae; Streptophyta; Magnoliopsida; Fagales; Fagaceae.
CUUUUUUUCAUUCUUUCUUAGAUCUGGGUAUGGGUAUGAAAUAUGAAUUAGUUUUGAGAAAUUCGGUUGGAUUGAUUUUUAUUUAGGUAUUUGGGUAACAUUAGGUUUUGAUUUGAUUUUUUGAAAUUUGGGGUUAUAUAUGAUUAUGUUUGGAGAGGGCAAAAACAAAGAAAUUGUGCCUCUUCAUACACAAUAAAACAGAGAAAUUCCGCCAGUCAGACUACCAGAAUCGUUACUGGUAAAGUUCUGAUUAUAUUCCUAUUUAAAUACAAUAUCCUGCUUCUAGCCAAAUUGUUUUUGUCUGCCACCGUCCAUACACCAAUUUAUCACAUCUGACCCUCUUCAGAAAUUUUAAAUAUUUCCUAUCCGACUAUCACCAAAUGCAUUAAAUGAUGAGAAAGCCCUGGACUUCUCAACGAUGCAUCAAAGAUAUUCAGUGACUCAAUAUUGUUUCACUAAGGCUGACUCCAUUUGUGGUUGCACCUUAUCAUUAUCUGGCCCACCAAGUGGAUAUGAUGGUGGGCAUGGUAUUGGUGGUCGAGGGGGGUUAUGGUGGUGCUUCUGCUGAGGCCCCAGAUGUGACAACUAAAGAACUAAGGGAGCUUUUUGGAAGCAUUGGACAAGUCUCCAUUCCCAGUGCAUUGAGUUUGCUCUCAGUUAUUGAUGGCAAAGGCAAAACAAGAACGCAGAUCUUCUUUAACUUCAUUCCAUGAAUCCUCUCCUGGAUUAGGAUCACCAUACCCCUAGUUCAGAUUGCCAUGAUCUGAGGAAGGAGGUUUGCAAUUGAUAGAACUUCUUGGAGAAUGUGCUAGCCAUGUAACUGCCAGAUGUCUUCAUAGUGUUAAUACCAGGCUUGAACAUAUUUCCUAUCUUGCCUCUCCUAAAGGCACUGUAAUUCAGCGAAUUGCUUCAUAUUUCAUUGAGGCAUUUGCUAAUAGGAUGCUUAAAGGCUUUACUGGUCUCUUUUGCAGUAAAAACAUGAUGUGUUCCAGGAAUCAAAAUUUCGUUGGAUGAAAGUUAAGUUCAAAACUAA